UGCCUGAACUCCGGAUUGAACGAAGGACCUUCUCAUUACGAAUGAGAUGCUCUACCACUAAGCUAUACAGGC
Non-coding RNA from Chaetoceros tenuissimus, 72 nucleotides. Lineage: Eukaryota; Bacillariophyta; Thalassiosirophyceae; Chaetocerotales; Chaetocerotaceae. The record is from the annotation of a GenBank genome assembly.